RNAcentral lists this ribosomal RNA (453 nucleotides) under uncultured Bacteroides sp. RNAcentral describes it as "partial 16S ribosomal RNA". It matches the Rfam family "Bacterial small subunit ribosomal RNA", at positions 341 to 792 of the family's 1533-position model. Lineage: Bacteria; Pseudomonadati; Bacteroidota; Bacteroidia; Bacteroidales; Bacteroidaceae. The record is from RNAcentral.
ACGGGAGGCAGCAGUGAGGAAUAUUGGUCAAUGGGCGAGAGCCUGAACCAGCCAAGUAGCGUGAAGGAUGACUGCCCUACGGGUUGUAAACUUCUUUUAUACGGGAAUAAAAAAGGCCACGUGUGGCCUCUUGUAUGUACCGUAUGAAUAAGCAUCGGCUAAUUCCGUGCCAGCAGCCGCGGUAAUACGGAAGAUGCGAGCGUUAUCCGGAUUUAUUGGGUUUAAAGGGAGCGUAGGCGGGUCUUUAAGUCAGUGGUCAAAGCGUGUGGCUCAACCAUACCACGCCAUUGAUACUGGAGACCUUGAGUGCACAUAAGGAUGGUGGAAUUCGUCGUGUAGCGGUGAAAUGCUUAGAUAUGACGAAGAACUCCGAUUGCGAAGGCAGCUGGCGGUACCGUUACCGACGCUCAUGCUCGAAAGUGUGGGUAUCGAACAGGAUUAGAUACCCUGGUA